CCCUAAUUGCCAGUACACUAUUACUAUUCCAGGGAAGGUAAGAGAUGGAUAACUACGUGAGCAGGUGUAUGUACCUGGUAGUAUGGUAUUGAACCUGACAAUCCGUAUAGGUUUUGUAGUAGUAACUGUAACCUGAAUAGAUAAAACCAUAUGGCAUAAGGAAAUAUGGCAUAGACCAAGCUCAUCUUAAUACGUACAGUAUAUGUGAAAAGUAAAGUGCCAUGAUGUGUAAAUAUUAAGCAUCGUAGCCAUACUGGUUAAAUAUGUAUCAAUCUUAACCCAUUAAGUGCCGUAUGUACAAGUGAAAAUGUGGUCUGU
Non-coding RNA from Pelobates cultripes (western spadefoot toad), 318 nucleotides. The record is from the annotation of a GenBank genome assembly. NCBI's taxonomy places the organism in Eukaryota, Metazoa, Chordata, Amphibia, Anura, Pelobatidae.